UACCUGCUUUUGCUCCCACUUCGAGU
This 26-nucleotide non-coding RNA is filed under the name Mus musculus (house mouse). Lineage: Eukaryota; Metazoa; Chordata; Mammalia; Rodentia; Muridae. The record is from RNAcentral.